UAGGGAAUCUUCCGCAAUGGGCGCAAGCUUGACGGAGCAACGCCGCGUGAGUGAUGAAGGUCUUCGGAUCGUAAAACUCUGUUAUUAGGGAAGAACAAUUGUGUAAGUAACUAUGCACGUCUUGACGGUACCUAAUCAGAAAGCCACGGCUAACUACGUGCCAGCAGCCGCGGUAAUACGUAGGUGGCAAGCGUUAUCCGGAAUUAUUGGGCGUAAAGCGCGCGUAGGCGGUUUUUUAAGUCUGAUGUGAAAGCCCACGGCUCAACCGUGGAAGGUCAUUGGAAACUGGAAAACUUGAGUGCAGAAGAGGAAAGUGGAAUUCCAUGUGUAGCGGUGAAAUGCGCAGAGAUAUGGAGGAACACCAGUGGCGAAGGCGACUUUCUGGUCUGUAACUGACGCUGAUGUGCGAAAGCGUGGGGAUCAAACAGG
RNAcentral lists this ribosomal RNA (429 nucleotides) under Actinomycetes bacterium. RNAcentral's name for it is "Actinobacteria bacterium partial 16S ribosomal RNA". It matches the Rfam family "Bacterial small subunit ribosomal RNA", at positions 355 to 776 of the family's 1533-position model. The record is from RNAcentral. Lineage: Bacteria; Bacillati; Actinomycetota; Actinomycetes.